Molecule: small nucleolar RNA, 107 nt
Organism: Dendrobium catenatum
Lineage: Eukaryota; Viridiplantae; Streptophyta; Magnoliopsida; Asparagales; Orchidaceae
Source: RefSeq, a predicted model, not a curated record
AGGGCAUGGUGAGUUCACUUUCUGAGCAUCUCUUUGAAUCUCUCCCAACUCUCAUAGAUAGAUUAUUCUUCUAACUGAGUAAAAGAAGUAAUAUCAUUUCUAAGCUU